GCCAUCAGGUCAAGCUGGGGACUCUAAUGAAACUGCCUACGCAAGUAGUGAGGAAGUGGGGAUGACGUCAAAUCAGCACGGCCCUUACGUCCAGGGCUACACACGUGCUACAAUGGCCGGUACAAAGGGCAGCUACCUGGUGACAGGAUGCUAAUCUCAAAAGCCGGUCUCAGUUCGGAUCGGAGUCUGCAACCCGACUCCGUGAAGUUGGAUUCGCUAGUAAUCGCGCAUCAGCCAUGGCGCGGUGAAUACGUUCCCGGGCCUU
This 265-nucleotide ribosomal RNA is filed under the name uncultured Sphingobacteriales bacterium. RNAcentral describes it as "partial 16S ribosomal RNA". It matches the Rfam family "Bacterial small subunit ribosomal RNA", at positions 1117 to 1382 of the family's 1533-position model. Lineage: Bacteria; Pseudomonadati; Bacteroidota; Sphingobacteriia; Sphingobacteriales. The record is from RNAcentral.